This is a long non-coding RNA of Hemicordylus capensis (graceful crag lizard), 729 nucleotides long. RefSeq lists it as uncharacterized. NCBI's taxonomy places the organism in Eukaryota, Metazoa, Chordata, Lepidosauria, Squamata, Cordylidae. The transcript is spliced from 2 exons. The record is from RefSeq and is a predicted model, not a curated record.
UGUCCGAGGUUGCCGGUCUUAAAUGGGCGCCAAGAUUCAAUUUCAAGUUACUUUUUAAAUUACCUCUGCUUUUGGGCGGUGGGUGGACCACCGAACCAUGCUGAUGUCUGAACCAGAGGAGAAGGAGCACUGCUCUUUCUUUUCUGCUGAAAGGUGGAAAAUACAUUAUGACCUUCCCCAGAUUUGAGGAUUUGCUUCGUUAAAGAUGCAAGAGGAUCACUACCAAAUAGUAAUUUUAAUACAUUUUCUCAUGCAGAAGUAACAGGAAGGGGUUUUUGUUGCCUAAACAUUUGAGGGUCAAAAAAUCUUCUUUUGCCAACAUAGAACAUCCACUGAGACUUUUGGUUUCCUAAAAUGGUUUGUUUUGAACUUCUGUAGGUUAUACAAUAAAUGUAGUCCAUGGAAGCUUAUCCUAAAAUAAAUUUGUUAGCCUUUAAAGUGCCAUAAGAAGACUAUUUUUGUUGCUAGGGGCUGCCCCUGUGGAGGUUAUUGUAUACAUAUUUUUAAACUAAAACACAAUUUUGUACUCUUGUAAUCAUUAAUUUUAUUUAUUAUUUAUAUAGUAUCAUAACUUCACAUAGAAUGAGAAGCAAGGUCUCUAUCCCGAAGGCUCACUAUCUAUACAAGUAUCUAGAAUCAAAACAAUGCCCAUAUCUGUGCUGAAUACAUGCUCUAAGGGGUCAGACAGAAAAGGGAGAAAUAAAGACUUGGUGCAUAGCCUGCCCUAGA